UUUUUUUGUUUGUUUGUUUGUUUGUUUGUUUUUAGGAUUUCUGGCUUAAGAGUAGUGGGAGAAUCGUUUUCUCCAGCAUUGCACUUAAGGUUGGAAAAUAGUUACGGAUCUCGAGAAAAUGAUGUGAAGUUGCUCAAGAGAAUUGUGGAUUAUUGUGUAAAUCGUGGUAUUGCAUUAACUCAGGCCCGCUACCUGGAGAAAGAAGAAAAAUGUCUUCCUUCACCCAGUAUUCGAGUAGUGGUAACAGUGGAACAAACAGAACAAGAACUGGACAAAGCUGCAUCACUUAUAAAGGAAGCUGCAGAGUCUGUACUGAAUUAACCCACAGGUUUGGAUUCCUUUUUCCUCAAAUUGUAAGAAUAAAUGUUUUACACUGUAUAGUGAAUUCCACUUCAGAUAUUAAAGCUUAUCCACCAUAGACAUUAAAGCCUAACUAAUGAGAUUGUUUCAGGAUAGUAAAAAUACAGUGAUAUAUAGAAUACUGAAUUUUGAAAAUGGUGAAUGACGCAAUGUACUUAAAAUUCAAAAUCUACGCUUUAAUAACAUUUGUAAAAAUGGAAUAUUGCUGUUGCAUGCAGAUCUUUUUCACAGGUUUCAUCUUAAAAAGCCUUAAAU
This is a non-coding RNA of Meleagris gallopavo (turkey), 615 nucleotides long. The record is from RefSeq and is a predicted model, not a curated record. NCBI's taxonomy places the organism in Eukaryota, Metazoa, Chordata, Aves, Galliformes, Phasianidae.